CCUGAACGCUGGCGGCGUGGCUAAGACAUGCAAGUCGAACGGUGUAGCAAUACACAGUGGCGGACGGGUGAGUAAUGUAUCGCUAAUGUGCCCUCGAGCCAGGGAUAGCUGCCCGAAAGGGCAGGUAAUACCUGAUGACAUAACCUUGUCGCAUGGCAGGGUUCUCAAAGCAGCAAUGCACUCUUGGAGCAGGCGAUAUCGUAUCAGCUAGUUGGUGAGGUAACGGCUCACCAAGGCUAUGACGCGUAGCUGGUCUGAGAGGACGACCAGCCACAUCGGGACUGAGACACUGCCCGGACUCCUACGGGGGGCUGCAGUAACGAAUCUUCCGCAUGCACGAAAGUGUGACGGAGCGACGCCGCGUGUAGGAUGAAGUCCUUCGGGGAGUAAACUACUGUCGGGAAAGAAAGUUCUGAUCUACCCCAAGGAAAGGGGCUAAUCUGGG
Molecule: ribosomal RNA, 445 nt
Filed under: uncultured bacterium
Lineage: Bacteria
Description: bacterial SSU rRNA
Rfam family: Bacterial small subunit ribosomal RNA
Source: RNAcentral